This 75-nucleotide small RNA is filed under the name Leptospira meyeri. RNAcentral describes it as "Flavo-1 RNA". It matches the Rfam family "Flavo-1 RNA". Lineage: Bacteria; Pseudomonadati; Spirochaetota; Leptospiria; Leptospirales; Leptospiraceae. The record is from RNAcentral.
UGUUUGUCUGCGCAAAGGAUCGCAGCGGAAAUCCUUUCGUGAAACGAAAGAUUGGAGCGAAGAGCCUGGUCGUUU